CGUUUGUUUAUGUGUUACAUAUUUGUUUUUCGUUCUUUUUUUAUAUAUAAAUAAGGCCAUUAGUUUUCUCGUUUGAAUUUUUUUACAUUGUCUUAUCGGGGCCUAGUAUAGCUGACUAUGCGGUAUGGGCUUUGCUCAUUGUUGAAGGCCGUACGGUGACCUAUAGUUGUUAAUGUCUGUGUCAUUUUUGUCUUUGGUGGAUAGUUGUCUCAUUGUCAAUAAUACCACAUCUUCUGUUUUAUAUUCAAAAAC
This 252-nucleotide long non-coding RNA is filed under the name Mytilus galloprovincialis (Mediterranean mussel). Lineage: Eukaryota; Metazoa; Mollusca; Bivalvia; Mytilida; Mytilidae. The record is from RNAcentral.